This 102-nucleotide transfer RNA is filed under the name Blumeria graminis f. sp. tritici. It matches the Rfam family "tRNA". From Rfam's summary of the family: Transfer RNA (tRNA) molecules are approximately 80 nucleotides in length. Their secondary structure includes four short double-helical elements and three loops (D, anti-codon, and T loops). RNAcentral also lists the same sequence under 1 other name. The record is from Rfam by way of RNAcentral. Lineage: Eukaryota; Fungi; Ascomycota; Leotiomycetes; Helotiales; Erysiphaceae.
GUCACGAUGCCAGAGUGGUUAAUGGGUUAGACUUGAAUACGACGCAGUCGGUCAGGGUAUCUAAUGGCUUCGGCCGCGUAGGUUCAAGUCCUGCUCGUGACG